GCGGACGGCGCUGAAGCCAGUCGAAGAUACCAGCUGGCUGCAACUGUUUAUUAAAAACACAGCACUGUGCAAACACGAAAGUGGACGUAUACGGUGUGACGCCUGCCCGGUGCUGGAAGGUUAAUUGAUGGGGUUAGCGUAAGCGAAGCUCCUGAUCGAAGCCCCAGUAAACGGCGGCCGUAACUAUAACGGUCCUAAGGUAGCGAAAUUCCUUGUCGGGUAAGUUCCGACCUGCACGAAUGGCGUAAUGAUGGCCAGGCUGUCUCCACCCGAGACUCAGUGAAAUUGAACUCGCUGUGAAGAUGCAGUGUACCCGCGGCAAGACGGAAAGACCCCGUGAACCUUUACUAUAGCUUGACACUGAACAUUGAGCCUUGAUGUGUAGGAUAGGUGGGAGGCUUUGAAGUGUGGACGCCAGUCUGCAUGGAGCCAACCUUGAAAUACCACCCUUUAACGUUUGAUGUUCUAACCUAGGCCCAUAAACUGGGUCGGGGACCGUGUCUGGUGGGUAGUUUGACUGGGGCGGUCUCCUCCUAAAGAGUAACGGAGGAGCACGAAGGUUGGCUAAGCAUGGUCGGACAUCAUGCGGUUAGUGCAAAGGCAUAAGCCAGCUUGACUGCGAGAGUGACGGCUCGAGCAGGUACGAAAGUAGGUCUUAGUGAUCCGGUGGUUCUGAAUGGAAGGGCCAUCGCUCAACGGAUAAAAGGUACUCCGGGGAUAACAGGCUGAUACCGCCCAAGAGUUCAUAUCGACGGCGGUGUUUGGCACCUCGAUGUCGGCUCAUCACAUCCUGGGGCUGAAGUAGGUCCCAAGGGUAUGGCUGUUCGCCAUUUAAAGUGGUACGCGAGCUGGGUUUAGAACGUCGUGAGACAGUUCGGUCCCUAUCUGCCGUGGGCGUUGGAAGAUUGAGAGGGGUUGCUCCUAGUACGAGAGGACCGGAGUGAACGCACCACUGGUGUUCGGGUUGUCAUGCCAAUGGCAUUGCCCGGUAGCUAAGUGCGGAAGAGAUAACCGCUGAAAGCAUCUAAGCGGGAAACUUGCCUCGAGAUGAGUCUUCCCUGUCGCUUUAAGCGACCUAAAGGAACGUUUAAGACUAAGACGUUGAUAGGCUGGGUGUGUAAGCGUAGCGAUACGUUGAGCUAACCAGUACUAAUGAACCGUGAGGCUUAACCUG
RNAcentral lists this ribosomal RNA (1174 nucleotides) under Proteus mirabilis. Its description in RNAcentral is "partial 23S ribosomal RNA". It matches the Rfam family "Bacterial large subunit ribosomal RNA", at positions 1757 to 2925 of the family's 2925-position model. Lineage: Bacteria; Pseudomonadati; Pseudomonadota; Gammaproteobacteria; Enterobacterales; Morganellaceae. The record is from RNAcentral.